Molecule: ribosomal RNA, 339 nt
Filed under: uncultured bacterium
Lineage: Bacteria
Description: bacterial SSU rRNA
Rfam family: Bacterial small subunit ribosomal RNA
Source: RNAcentral
GCUCAGGACGAACGCUGGCGGCGCGCCUAACACAUGCAAGUCGAACGAGCGAGAGAGAGCUUGCUUUCUCGAGCGAGUGGCGAACGGGUGAGUAACGCGUGAGGAACCUGCCUCAAAGAGGGGGACAACAGUUGGAAACGACUGCUAAUACCGCAUAAGCCCACGACCCGGCAUCGGGUAGAGGGAAAAGGAGCAAUCCGCUUUGAGAUGGCCUCGCGUCCGAUUAACUAGUUGGUGAGGUAAUGGCCCACCAAGGCGACGAUCGGUAGCCGGACUGAGAGGUUGAACGGCCACAUUGGGACUGAGACACGGCCCAGACUCCUACGGGAGGCAGCAGUA